RNAcentral lists this ribosomal RNA (253 nucleotides) under uncultured prokaryote. RNAcentral describes it as "partial 16S ribosomal RNA". It matches the Rfam family "Bacterial small subunit ribosomal RNA", at positions 525 to 777 of the family's 1533-position model. The record is from RNAcentral.
ACAGAGGGGGCAAGCGUUGUUCGGAAUUAUUGGGCGUAAAGGGCGCGUAGGCGGUUUGUUAAGUCGGCUGUGAAAGCCCGGGGCUCAACCCUGUAAUUGCCUUUAAGACUGCAUCGCUUGAACAUCGGAGAGGUAAGUGGAAUCCCGAGUGUAGAGGUGAAAUUCGUAGAUAUUCGGAAGAACACCAGUGGCGAAGGCGACUUACUGGACGAUUGUUGACGCUGAGGUGCGAAAGCGUGGGGAGCAAACAGGA